Dioscorea cayenensis subsp. rotundata (Guinea yam) is the source of this 2164-nucleotide RNA transcript. It is a transcript of the gene named probable membrane metalloprotease ARASP2, chloroplastic, with no coding region annotated. The record is from RefSeq and is a predicted model, not a curated record. The transcript is spliced from 3 exons. NCBI's taxonomy places the organism in Eukaryota, Viridiplantae, Streptophyta, Magnoliopsida, Dioscoreales, Dioscoreaceae.
GAGAGAGAGAGAGAGAGACCAAGACUAGCAUCAUCAUCUCCAUCGCUGUGAGCCUCGCAACGAUGAUAAGCAUUUGUUUAUCGCGCGGCCCGAUCCCCAACCCUCACCACCACUCCCUCUUCUUCAAACCCUCCCCUCCUUCUCCUUAUCUCCUCCGUCCCUUGCUCUUCCCCACUCGCCGCCGCCGCCACCGCCACCGUCAUCGUAUCCUCCUCCUCCGCCCCCGCGCCUCCCACCUCCUCUCCGCCCUCGACUCUGCUCCCUCCGUUCUCGAAGCCUCCGCCGUCCUCGCCGCCAUCAUCGUCGUCCAUGAACUCGGCCACUUCCUCGCCGCCUCCCUCCAGGGCAUCCACGUUAGCAAGUUUGCCAUCGGCUUUGGUCCUGUCCUGGCUCGCUUCGUCUCUGGCAGCGUCGAGUACUCCCUCCGUGCCUUCCCUCUCGGAGGUUUCGUUGGAUUCCCCGAUGAUGACCCCGACAGUGGCAUCCCCCCUGAUGACGCCGAUCUCCUUAAGAACCGUCCCAUACCUGAUCGUCUCCUUGUCGUCUCGGCCGGCGUUGCUGCUAACCUCUUGUUCGCUUAUCUGAUUGUCUUCUCUGAGGUAAUCUCCGUUGGCCUGCCCGUCCAGAAGCCUCUCGCUGGGGUUCUUGUCCCUGAGGUCCGCUCUGGCUCCGCUGCCGCUCGCGAUGGACUUCGACCUGGUGAUGUCAUUCUCGGCGUUGAGAACAUUGCCUUCCCCUCGGCGCCCUCCGUCUCGGAGGUCGUCGAUGUCAUUAAAAUGAGCCCGAAAAAGAGCGUGCCGCUGAGGGUGCUGCGCGGUGGUGCGGGCUCAGAGCCUAUGGUUGUUAACGUAGUCCCCGACCAGAGCUCCGAUGGCAGCGGGAGAAUCGGGGUCCAACUCUCCCCUAAUUACAGUGUCUCGAAGCUCCGUGCCAGCGAUCUUGCUGAAGCGACGAGACUUGCCGGCAAGGAGUUCUGGGGGCUUGCCACUGUUGUGGUGGAUGGGUUGAAGCAGACCUUCCUCAACUUCUCGCAGUCUGCGAGCAAGGUCUCUGGUCCGGUGGCGAUCAUUGCGGUGGGAGCUGAGGUGGCCAAGUCGAGCUCUGAUGGGUUGUUUCAGUUCGCUGCUGUUAUUAAUCUGAACCUCGCGGUGAUAAACCUUCUGCCAUUGCCAGCCCUCGACGGAGGGUCCUUGGCCUUGUUGCUCGUUGAGGCGGCCAGAGGAGGGAGGAAGCUCCCCAGGGAGUUGGAACAGAGGAUAAUGUCUUCUGGGAUUUUGGUUGUUCUGAUGCUUGGCUUGUUCCUUAUUGUUCGCGAUACUCUCAACCUUGAUUUCAUUAAGGAGAUGUUGUGAUGAUUAUUGAGAAUGAGAUGGCUUGAAGGAAGCUGCUCCUUGGAUCAGAUUGGUGUUGGAUACCUGCCAUUCGUCCAUGCCCUGCUUUGCAGGGUAACACUAACACCUUGCCAUCACUGAAUGUUUAUUCUCAUUAGGAAUACAAUCAGCUGCUGCACCAUUGACAGAAAUCCUUGAUGAGGAACGGGUGUUGGAAAAGGGAUGAAUUGAGACAUCUUCAAUCCAGUGGACCAAUCUGGUUUGUUACUUUCCUACCUGCUUCUCUCUAUCAUCUCAUCUAUUCUGUCCUAGUCUGGCCAAACACCAGCAUGCUCCAAGCUGUGUCAGGCUUUAUCACUCAUAUACCAUAUCAUUUCUUCAUUCUAUCUUUUAUUCUCUUGCUUCUGAAGUGCUUGUUUAGAUGUUAGUGUAAAGUUGGAGCUAAGAAGUAGCUUGGUUUCUCUGUAUAUUCAAGGAAAUCUUUAUAUAUAAAUUAUUCCAAUGUAGGUUGGGUUUAAAAGAAGGGUGAAGUCAUUGGAUUUCUUUUGUUUGAAGAGUGAUGUAAUAAAAUACUGGUUUAAUUGCUGUACAGGUCCCUGUAAUUAUGUAUUUUUUUAUCUUUUUAGUCAUUGUAAUAUUUUUUAGAUACAAUUAAGUCAUCAUAUUUAGUCAAGUUGGGUCAUUUUAGUCCGCGGUGUAGAUGGACAAGUGUAAAUUGCAAGGAUUUAAUUGUACUUAAAAAUAUUGCAGUGGACUAGAACGAUCCAACUUAAUCAAAUAUGAGGAUUUAAUUGUACUUAAAAAUAUUAGAAGGACUAAAAAAGCAGAAAAUA